UACGUAGGGUGCGAGCGUUAAUCGGAAUUACUGGGCGUAAAGCGUGCGCAGGCGGUUUGCUAAGACCGAUGUGAAAUCCCCGGGCUUAACCUGGGAACUGCAUUGGUGACUGGCAGGCUAGAGUAUGGCAGAGGGGGGUAGAAUUCCACGUGUAGCAGUGAAAUGCGUAGAGAUGUGGAGGAAUACCGAUGGCGAAGGCAGCCCCCUGGGCCCAAUACUGACGCUCAUGCACGAAAGGCGUGGGGAGCAAACGAGG
RNAcentral lists this ribosomal RNA (256 nucleotides) under uncultured bacterium. RNAcentral's name for it is "partial 16S ribosomal RNA". It matches the Rfam family "Bacterial small subunit ribosomal RNA", at positions 524 to 777 of the family's 1533-position model. The record is from RNAcentral.